CUCUAGUGGCGCAAUUGGUUAGCGCGUUCGACUGUUAAUCGAAAGGAUGGUGGUUCGAGUCCACCCUAGAGCG
This 73-nucleotide transfer RNA is filed under the name Allomyces macrogynus ATCC 38327. RNAcentral's name for it is "tRNA-Asn". It matches the Rfam family "tRNA". Rfam says of the family: Transfer RNA (tRNA) molecules are approximately 80 nucleotides in length. Their secondary structure includes four short double-helical elements and three loops (D, anti-codon, and T loops). Further hydrogen bonds mediate the characteristic L-shaped molecular structure. tRNAs have two regions of fundamental functional importance: the anti-codon, which is responsible for specific mRNA codon recognition, and the 3' end, to which the tRNAs corresponding amino acid is attached (by aminoacyl-tRNA synthetases). tRNAs cope with the degeneracy of the genetic code in two manners: having more than one tRNA (with a specific anti-codon) for a particular amino acid; and 'wobble' base-pairing, i.e. permitting non-standard base-pairing at the 3rd anti-codon position. The record is from RNAcentral. Lineage: Eukaryota; Fungi; Blastocladiomycota; Blastocladiomycetes; Blastocladiales; Blastocladiaceae.